This 697-nucleotide ribosomal RNA is filed under the name Cheliceroides longipalpis. RNAcentral describes it as "12S ribosomal RNA". The record is from RNAcentral. Lineage: Eukaryota; Metazoa; Arthropoda; Arachnida; Araneae; Salticidae.
UUACAAAAUUAAUAAGAUAAAGUUUAUUUUUUAUUAUUAAAAUAUAAAAAUUACUGUAUUUUAAAAACACUAUUAUAUAUUAUUUAUAUUAAAAAUAAUUAAAUUAAUAAUAAAUUAACUACUUAAGUGCCAGCAAUCGCGGCUAUACUUUAUAUUUUAAAACUAAAAAGUAUUGAAAUUUAAAAUUUAAAUUAAUAAAAAUUUCAAGUGAAAUUUUAUUUUAAAAUAAUUAAUUAAAUUAAUCAAUUUUUAUUAUAAAUUUAAAAUAGGAUUAGAAACCCUAGUAUAUUAUAACUAUUUAAGGUAGUAUUUAUAAUAAAAACCUAAUUAAUAAAUGACGGCUUUUAUUAUAUUAGAGGAAUUUGUUAAAUAAUCGACAACCCACGAUAUAUAUAACUUAUAUUAAUAAAUUUAUAUAUCGCCGUCUAUAGAAAGAUUUAUAAAAAUUUUUCAUAAUAUUAUAUAAAAAGAUAGGUCAAGGUGUAGUUUAUAUAUAAGGUUAUAAUGAAUUACAUUAAAUUUAAUUUAAAGAUUACUAAAAUAAAAUUUUCUAUAAAAUAGGAUUUAUUAGUAUUUUUAUAAUAUUAUUAUAAUAUGAAUAUUAUAAUAAAAGUGUACAUAUCGCCCGUCACCCUUAUUAUUUAUUAUAAUAUAAGGCAAGUCGUAACAUAGUUGAUAUUUUGGAAAAAGUAUCAAG